CCAAGGCUCUUUAGACAUCCAGGCGUGUUCACUUGGGAGUAUUAGCAUUUGAGACUGAGAUUCCCUUUAUUCUGCAAGGCUGCCUGGGGUCUGUGAAGUGUGUAAUGCAGCAGUGGGCUGAGAGACACUGUCAUUAAUAUGGGCGUCCAAUUUGUGGCCAAGGCAUGAGUAAGUUCAUUGCUGACUUCCCUCAGUAUUUAGAAACAUUUGUCAUUGUUCCUUUCUUUUGGACC
Molecule: long non-coding RNA, 233 nt
Organism: Dromaius novaehollandiae (emu)
Lineage: Eukaryota; Metazoa; Chordata; Aves; Casuariiformes; Dromaiidae
Exons: 3
Source: RefSeq, a predicted model, not a curated record